Chinchilla lanigera (long-tailed chinchilla) is the source of this 1541-nucleotide long non-coding RNA. RefSeq lists it as uncharacterized. NCBI's taxonomy places the organism in Eukaryota, Metazoa, Chordata, Mammalia, Rodentia, Chinchillidae. The record is from RefSeq and is a predicted model, not a curated record. The transcript is spliced from 4 exons.
UUGAGACCACAGAGUCAGUCCAAGGCCAGCAUGAGCUGCAUAGCGAGACCCUGUCUCAAAAAGACCAAAGAAAAGGGGGUUAGCAAGGAGUUGUGGUGAUGCAUAUACUGAUAGUACCUGAGCGUGGCUGAUCACCCCUUCACCAGCGGAUGGUCUCAAACUUAAACAUGUAUCACCUGGAGGGCUUGCCCAAACGCAGAUUGCCGGCCGCAGGGCCCAGCGACUCUGAUGCAGUAGGUCUACAGGACAGGCCAAGAGUUGGCAUUUUUAAGAUGCCGGUGAUGCUGAAGCUUUGGUUCAGGGGCCACAGCUUGAGUCCUGCUGAGCUUGGUCACAGCGAGGAGGAAAGACAUCCCAGGAGUGGGGAAGAGCCUGUGCAGAGACAGGAGGAGCGCUCCGCGCAGCGCUGCUCAGAAAGUGAUAUGCAAAUCGUGAGGUUCGCGCAGGUGGGCUGCCGGUGUCAGGCGAUGAAGGACUCGUGCGUCCAGGCGUGGAGUCUGGACUUCAUCCUGGAGAGAAGGGGGGCCAGAGCAGCUGCCUGUGGAAGGAAGGAGAGAUUGGCGGGUCCGAAAGAUCACUUUGGAGGGCAAGUGCGGGGAGGAGACAGGAGCCAGGGGGUUGGCGGGCCUUCUGCUGUCCACAGUCCUGGCGGUGAGGAGCGGCCAGAAACCCAGCCGAGCAGCAAUUCGCACAGAAACAACAGCACGGACAAGUGCUCAGCGGGCAGUGCAGGCCCGCGCAGCCCCUGUGCACCAUCUCCUCACUCCCGCUAAGAGCCUGGGGUCGGAGGGUCACAUUGCCGCUUGGACAAGUUGGGAACCUGACUAAAGCCAGGACGGGGCACAGGCAAACCCAGAGUGCGGAGACAGUCAUCGUAGCUGCUUCCCCGAGGUGAUGGCAAAAAGAGCUUGCAGAAAAUCAAAGACAGGAGACAACCGAGCCGGGGGUCCCGCUGGUUCUUUCCUCUGGAGACAAGGAACGGACCUCAGGACCCUGCGCUUGCCAGGCAGGCGCCACGCUGCUGAGCUGUACCCCUGGCCCUAAGGAGAUGGAAACAGGGCAGGAAGCGCACCGCGGGCCAGGGACCAGCACCUGCAAAGCCCUGGAGAGAAGGAAGGGCAUCGCCUCCCUGUGACCGCUCUGCCGAAGUUGGGUCUCAGAGCUCUGCACAGUGUGACUGCCAGACCUCGGAGCCCUGCGCGGGACUCAGACUGCUGCUCCUUGACUGAGGCUGUCAGAGCAUCCUGACUUUGGCCUCGGGUAUUUCAGCAGCGCUGGCCACUGCGUACAGCACUCUGCUCCACCCUGGGGGAGACACUGGGAGGUGCAGGGGACUCCUGCCCUCAAGGGGGGCUUGAGAUGCAGUUGUUGGGGGCUGGCGCGGGGGCAACACACCCGUUUUCCUGGCACUCUACGGGCCCAGGCAGGAGGAUCACAGCUCAGUGAUUUAGCAGCUCUGUCCCCCAUAAAAAAAAAAAAGGAAAUGCUAGGAAUGCAGCUCAGUGCAAAGGCCCCAGUACGAAAAAAAACAAGCAAGCAAA